AGCAUUAAGAUGUAUCUCGCUUACACCGAGAAGAUGAUUUUAUAAAAUCUACCUUGA
Molecule: transfer RNA, 57 nt
Filed under: Leocrates chinensis
Lineage: Eukaryota; Metazoa; Annelida; Polychaeta; Phyllodocida; Hesionidae
Description: tRNA-Val
Source: RNAcentral